This 1064-nucleotide long non-coding RNA is filed under the name Zalophus californianus (California sea lion). Its description in RNAcentral is "lncRNA (ENSZCAG00015008091.1)". Lineage: Eukaryota; Metazoa; Chordata; Mammalia; Carnivora; Otariidae. The record is from RNAcentral.
GUCCCCUCCCCGUGUGUGUGUGUGUGUGCGUGCGCGUAUGUGUGAGAGAGUGUGAGUGUGUGUGUGUGUGUGUGUGUGUGUGUGUGUAAAGAGGGCUCUUGUAGGGUGGGGCCGCCCCGAGCAGGAGCAGGCUGAUGAGGGGUCAGAUACCCAGUGGGCAGGUCAUGUUCAAGGUCAAGGCUGGCUGGGUGGGAUGGGGUGUGUGGGUGCUGCCCCUUCUGCCCACGGUUUAUCCCGAUAGCCCUGCAGGGAUGGGCUACUGCAUCCCGGGUGCAGGGCUGUGCACGCACAGGUCUGUGUCUGAUCUGGGAGCAGCAGGGGGACUGGGCAGGAGGACAGUGAGGAUGGCCGGGCAGGGCUGUGAUGCCUCCAGCCGGCUACCCGUCCCUGUCUUUGCAGAAGUCAAUGGAUGACAUGGAGAGGUGGCUGGUGGACACACCCUCCAUCUCCUGGACAGAGGGGUUGACCCCACAGGGGUCCCUAGGAGCAGGUGCUGGGGAUUGCCAAAGAAGGCCUCCGACACCACCCAGACCACUGUCCCAGGUGGUUGUCCACCGGACAGUGGUCCAGGAGCUGGAGCCCACAGAGGCCGAGCCCGAGGCUGCUCCACCACCUGAGGAGCUAGAGCCGGCUCCAACUCCAUCAACAGCUCUGGAGGGAAGAGGGAGUGACUGCAGCGACUUCAGGAGGAGACCAGGAGCCGGCAGGUGACCCGGCACCCGCCCACGGAGAGCCUGACGCAAACCAGGAAGAACAGGCACCUGCUCCUGCCCCAGCCCCUGCCCCUGCUACAGUUCCUGCCGCUCCCCUGCCCCUGUCCCUGGCCCUGCUCUCACACCCGGCCCUGCCCCUAUCCUAACCCCUGCCCCUACUCCUGCUCCUGCAGGGAUCCCACAGCCACACCCAGAGCCCACAGCCCUGCAGGGAGAGCUCCCUGUACAAUUACCCUUAGUUCCAUCACCGGACCCCGACGCCCCGCCAGAUUGUUUCGUCCCCUCCCCCUAUGUUCUUACUCUCUGGUUCAUAUUAACUGUUAUUUUAUCUUUUCAUGUUCUGUAUACUGU